UACGUAGGGUGCGAGCGUUGUCCGGAAUUAUUGGGCGUAAAGAGCUUGUAGGCGGUUUGUCGCGUCUGCUGUGAAAAUCCGGGGCUCAACCCCGGACUUGCAGUGGGUACGGGCAGACUGGAGUGUGGUAGGGGAGACUGGAAUUCCUGGUGUAGCGGUGGAAUGCGCAGAUAUCAGGAGGAACACCGAUGGCGAAGGCGGGUCUCUGGGCCGAUACUGACGCUGAGGAGCGAAAGCGUGGGGAGCGAACAGG
This 253-nucleotide ribosomal RNA is filed under the name uncultured bacterium. RNAcentral's name for it is "partial 16S ribosomal RNA". It matches the Rfam family "Bacterial small subunit ribosomal RNA", at positions 524 to 776 of the family's 1533-position model. The record is from RNAcentral.